Molecule: ribosomal RNA, 543 nt
Filed under: uncultured archaeon
Lineage: Archaea
Description: bacterial SSU rRNA
Rfam family: Archaeal small subunit ribosomal RNA
Source: RNAcentral
GGCGAGCCGCCGCGGUAACACCGGCGGCCCGAGUGGUGAUCGUGAUUAUUGGGUCUAAAGGGUCCGUAGCCGGUUUGGUCAGUCCUCCGGGAAAUCUGAUAGCUCAACUAUUAGGCUUUCGGGGGAUACUGCCAGACUUGGAACCGGGAGAGGUAAGAGGUACUACAGGGGUAGGAGUGAAAUCUUGUAAUCCCUGUGGGACCACCUGUGGCGAAGGCGUCUUACCAGAACGGGUUCGACGGUGAGGGACGAAAGCUGGGGGCACGAACCGGAUUAGAUACCCGGGUAGUCCCAGCCGUAAACGAUGCUCGCUAGGUGUCAGGCAUGGCGCGACCGUGUCUGGUGCCGCAGGGAAGCCGUGAAGCGAGCCACCUGGGAAGUACGGCCGCAAGGCUGAAACUUAAAGGAAUUGGCGGGGGAGCACAACAACGGGUGGAAGCCUGCGGUUUAAUUGGACUCAACGCCGGACAACUCACCGGGGGCGACAGCAAUAUGUAGGCCAAGCUGAAGACUUUGCCUGAAUCGCUGAGAAGAGGUGCAUGG